GCCCUCGUAGCUCAGUCGGCAGAGCAACCGCCUUGUAAGCGGUCGGUCGUCGGUUCGAGUCCGACCGAGGGCU
RNAcentral lists this transfer RNA (73 nucleotides) under Anaerolineae bacterium. RNAcentral's name for it is "tRNA-Thr". It matches the Rfam family "tRNA". Rfam says of the family: Transfer RNA (tRNA) molecules are approximately 80 nucleotides in length. The record is from RNAcentral. Lineage: Bacteria; Bacillati; Chloroflexota; Anaerolineae. RNAcentral also lists the same sequence under 2 other names.